Molecule: long non-coding RNA, 975 nt
Organism: Oncorhynchus keta (chum salmon)
Lineage: Eukaryota; Metazoa; Chordata; Actinopteri; Salmoniformes; Salmonidae
Exons: 3
Source: RefSeq, a predicted model, not a curated record
CUCCAUGCACAUGCGCGCACACACACACACACAUCAGCAUUUCCUCCAGGUUGAGGAUGAUCUCAUCAUUACACACACACACACACUGGCAUUUCCUCCAGGUUGAGGAUGAUCUCAUCAUUACACACAUCAGCAUUUCCUCCAGGUUGAGGAUGAUCUCAUUAUCACACACACACACACACACACACACAUCAGCAUUUCCUCCAGGUUGAGGAUGAUCUCAUCAUUACACACACACUAGCAUUUCCUCCAGGUUGAGGAUGAUCUCAUCAUUACACACAUCAGCAUUUCCUCCAGGUUGAGGAUGAUCUCAUUAUUACACACACACACACACACACACACACAUCAGCAUUUCCUCCAGGUUGAGGAUGAUCUCAUCAUAACACACACACACACAUCAGCAUUUCCUCCAGGUUGAGGAUGAUCUCAUCAUAACACACACACACACACACAUCAGCAUUUCCUCCAGGUUGAGGAUGAUCUCAUCAUAACACACACACACACAUCAGCAUUUCCUCCAGGUUGAGGAUGAUCUCAUCAUUACACACACACACACAUCAGCAUUUCCUCCAGGUUGAGGAUGAUCUCAUCAUAACACACACACACACAUCAGCAUUUCCUCCAGGUUGAGGAUGAUCUCAUCAUUACACACACACAUCAGCAUUUCCUCCAGGUUGAGGAUGAUCUCAUCAUAACACACACACACACACAUCAGCAUUUCCUCCAGGUUGAGGAUGAUCUCAUCAUAACACACACACACACAUCAGCAUUUCCUCCAGGUUGAGGAUGAUCUCAUCAUAACACACACACACACACAUCAGCAUUUCCUCCAGGUUGAGGAUGAUCUCAUCAUAACACACACACGUGUAUCUUUUUAUAGAUACAAUCUGGCCGCACUGUACAAACACUAUGGGUAGCAAUUUUCUUUCAUCUCACGAGAGGGUAAAAUCUUAAUAGUGACACUUAACUUCUCUU